CGUGAAGCCUGUCAGUGCAGUGCCUAUAUCAAUUAAUACAAACUGAGGGAGCGUAUGAAGAGAAGUGCCGAGAGCCAAUCGGCAGCCUUCACGAUUCUGUAGCUUGUGGCCAGAAAAGUGUAAUAAAUAAAUAAAUAAAUCAAUAAACAAUCAGACACUGCAUGGACCCUUAGGGUCUAUCUAACAAAAAAAUGAAUGAGUUUUUUUUUUUUUUUCCUUUUUUUUUUAAAAAAAAAAAAAAGAAAGAAAAAGAAUGAAAAUAAAGGUUACAAUGGUGAAUUAAAACCAAAAAUAUGGCUCGAUAUAAAUAUACUGAAUACGCAGUAAAAAAGAAAAACCGGAGGGGGGAAAUAGAGUAGCAGCAACGUGGGGUAUGUGUUUUUAAUUGUUAAAAGUGGAACCAUGGUGCAACUUUGUGUUAUUAUCUGUAAAACAUGUUCCCUCGCUGAUCUUUAGCCAUCGUGAGUGGCUCCACAGUCCAGACAUGAUUACACGCCAUCAGUUUUCCCCACUGAAAUCGUGCACUCGAUACACGCCGCGUUUGUGUCGAUCGGCUUUCUGGCCGUCGUUACUCUGGUGCUAUAAAAAGGCAGGACCUGUAGUACACACAGUCUGCUGCAGGAUUCUGCCUGUGUAUAAAACGUCUAAAAAUCACCCGCCUUAUAAUAAAACAUUUUGCAUCAGCUCAUUUUAAACCGUGGUACUGGUGUGCUUUGUCAGCGUGGGCGGAGUAUCGACUGAAAAUGCUCGUGCCGGUCGUGCAUCUCUAAUUGCGAUGACAUUACAGAAGCGAUGAUACGCCUGCUUAUAUGCGCAGCAUCACUGCCAUGUUCGCAGCUGCUAUUUUUAGUACGCAGUCCGUCUCUGCUGUAUAGAGAAGCCGUAACUGUAAAUAUAGAGCUGUAUUUUUUUUUUUUUCCCCCCCCAAGCGUGGAAUCGAAAACGAAUGUUUCUUGAAUUGCAUGUUCACUUUGCUUUUUAAAAAAAAAGAAAGAAAUUCAAUAAAAUAAAGAGAAAUGGUGCUAUUUUUCAGACAUAUUUAUAAUGUGGAUUGUGUUUGAUGAUGUCAUCUUGUAUAUGGUAAAAUGAUUAAAAUGUUCAAUUUGUCG
Molecule: long non-coding RNA, 1109 nt
Organism: Ictalurus punctatus (channel catfish)
Lineage: Eukaryota; Metazoa; Chordata; Actinopteri; Siluriformes; Ictaluridae
Source: Ensembl